UUCUGCUGUGUCAUGCAAGAAGGAGGCGGCAGCGGCGGCCGGAGCUGGAGGGGGAGGAGGGGAGGAACCUGAUCCUCUGGUAGCGAAGGGCUGGAGGCAAACACCGACCUCCCCUAGAGCCGCCCGGGAGUAGGGAGGGCUCCGCUACCCCGAGGGGCCCUCCCCGCGGGGCAGAGGAAUUUAAUGUCCAGAUUCUGAACAGUGCCUUGAGGUCACCCAUGCCACCCUGCAGACUCUCCAGAGACUAUUGGACUCAUAAGCUAUUGGAUUCAUACCUGAAACCAUGGGGAUUGGAAUAAGCUGGAAUUCCAGGAAGGAAACUCUUUCAACUCCUGAGACCAAGCCCACCCACCAACCCUCACUACAG
This 367-nucleotide long non-coding RNA is filed under the name Cavia porcellus (domestic guinea pig). RNAcentral's name for it is "lncRNA (ENSCPOG00000033644.1)". Lineage: Eukaryota; Metazoa; Chordata; Mammalia; Rodentia; Caviidae. The record is from RNAcentral.